UACGAAGGUUGCGAGCGUUGUUCGGAAUCACUGGGCUUAAAGCGCAUGUAGGCGGCCCUCCAAGUGCCUUGUGAAAUCCCACGGCUCAACCGUGGAAUUGCUUGGUAGACUGUUGGGCUUGAGGCAGGUAGGGGCGCGUGGAACUCUUGGUGGAGCGGUGGAAUGCGUAGAUAUCAAGAGGAACGCCGGUGGCGAAAGCGGCGCGCUGGGCUUGUCCUGACGCUGAGAUGCGAAAGCCAGGGGAG
This 245-nucleotide ribosomal RNA is filed under the name uncultured bacterium. RNAcentral describes it as "partial 16S ribosomal RNA". It matches the Rfam family "Bacterial small subunit ribosomal RNA", at positions 524 to 768 of the family's 1533-position model. The record is from RNAcentral.